RNAcentral lists this ribosomal RNA (325 nucleotides) under Gelanor sp. GH1296. RNAcentral describes it as "partial 12S ribosomal RNA". Lineage: Eukaryota; Metazoa; Arthropoda; Arachnida; Araneae; Mimetidae. The record is from RNAcentral.
AUUAAAAUAAAUUAAAAAGUAUAAAAAUUUUAAAAAAACUAAUAUAUACUGGCAGCAUUUUAUCUUAUUAGAGGAACAUGUUUAUUAAUCGAAAACACACGUUAAUUUUUACUUAUUUUAAAAUUUUAUAUACCGCCGUAAAGAUCUAUUUUAAAAAUUUUUUCCAAAAAUUAUUCUAAAAAAAUAGGUAAAGGUGUAAACAACAAAUAAGGUAAGAAUGUGUUACAAUAAAUUUAAUUUAAAAAUCCAUUUUUACAAAACUAAAUGAGGGAUUUAAAAGUAAUAUAAAAAUAAAAAUUUUAUAUGAAUAAGUAAAUAAAUGUGC